AAGGUGCACCCGAGAGGGGAAACCGAUGGGAAAGGAGUUAAUAUUCUUGUACCAGCUUAUGCUGCGAUGGGGCGACGGAGUAGUGAAAGUCCUGCGUACGGACGGAAGUGUACGUUAAAGGGUGUAGUUUAUGAGAGGGCCAGGCAAAUCCAGUCCUUGAGAUGAAACCCGAUAGUACCGCGAUCUUUUAGGAGAGCGGAUAAUGGACCUAAUCAUACUUCCAAGAAAAACCUCUAAGCUUCAGGCAUAAGCUGCCCGUACCGCAAACCGACACAGGUAGUCGAGGAGAGUAUCCUCAGGCGCUCGAGUGAUUCACGGCUAAGGAACUCGGCAAAAUAGACCCGUAACUUCGGGAGAAGGGUCGCCCCGCGCAAGCGGGGCCGCAGUAAAAAGGCUCAGGCGACUGUUUAGCAAAAACACAGGGCUCUGCAAAAUCGAAAGAUGAAGUAUAGGGCCUGACACCUGCCCGGUGCUGGAAGGUUAAGGAAGCUUGUUAGUGGGAAACUGCGAAGCUUGUAACUGAAGCCCCAGUAAACGGCGGCCGUAACGAUAACGGUCCUAAGGUAGCGAAAUUCCUUGUCGGGUAAGUUCCGACCUGCACGAAUGGUGUAACGAUCUGAGCACUGUCUCGGCCGUGAGCUCGGUGAAAUUGUAGCCCCGGUGAAGAUGCCGGGUACCCGCAACGGGACGGAAAGACCCCGUGAACCUUCACUAUAGCUUUGCAUUGGUUUUGAGUAAAUAAUGUGUAGGAUAGGUGGGAGGCUGCGAAGCAGGCACGCUAGUGUUUGUGGAGCCGUCCUUGAAAUACCACCCUUUAUUUACUUAGAGUCUAACUCUUUGAAAGAGGACAGUGCAUGGUGGGUAGUUUGACUGGGGUGGUCGCCUCCAAAAGAGUAACGGAGGCUUUCAAAGGUACCCUCAGCACGCUUGGUAACCGUGCGUAGAGCGCAAUAGUAUAAGGGUGCUUGACUGUAAGACCGACGGGUCAAGCAGGUAGGAAACUAGGAUAUAGUGAUCCGGUGGUUCCGUAUGGAAGGGCCAUCGCUCAUAGGAUAAAAGGUACUCCGGGGAUAACAGGCUGAUCCUACCCAAGAGCUCAUAUCGACGGUAGGGUUUGGCACCUCGAUGUCGGCUCGUCACAUCCUGGGGCUGGAGAAGGUCCCAAGGGUUGGGCUGUUCGCCCAUUAAAGUGGCACGCGAGCUGGGUUCAGAACGUCGCAAGACAGUUCGGUCCCUAUCUGUUGUGGGCGUUUGAGAUUUGAGGAGAUCUGACACUAGUACGAGAGGACCGGGUCGGACUGACCACUAGUGUACCUGUUAUGGCGCCAGCUGUAUCGCAGGGUAGCUAUGUCGGGAAUGGAUAAGCGCUGAAAGCAUCUAAGCACGAAACCAACUCCAAGAUUAGAUCUCGUAGGGCUGUGGAAGAUUACCACGUUGAUAGGCUACAGGUGUAAAGGCAGUAAUGUCAUAGCCGAGUAGUACUAAUUGCUCGUAAGCUUU
This 1500-nucleotide ribosomal RNA is filed under the name metagenome. RNAcentral describes it as "bacterial LSU rRNA". It matches the Rfam family "Bacterial large subunit ribosomal RNA", at positions 1393 to 2925 of the family's 2925-position model. The record is from RNAcentral.